GAGCAGUGUUUAUAGACCUAAAAGCACGAUAUCUCCCACAAUCCACUUACUGUCUCUAACUAGCCAUAAUGUGACUAACCAGUAGUGACUGUCCUCAUGGCCCUUCACUAACUUUAUACAGAUGCAUCCAAUGAUUUUAACUAUCUUUAAAAUAUGAUGCUCACUGAAAAAGAAUAAAUUUGGAUAUUCUUUCCUAAGAAGAGAUGAGUAUUACAAGUAAGGCAGGAAGAAAAGUAGUUAGAAGACUGUUUCCAAAUAAGUAAAUAACAACAAAUUCCCCUUGGGCUGCUGUAAAGAAUUUUAAUUCACUGUUGUGAAGUGGAAGACCUUUGUAUUUCCUCUGAAACUCUGGCAGAAAUGACUGAACAUGAGUAGUGAUGGCUUUCAUAUUAUGAAAUGAUAGCCGUUUUCUCCUACAAAUUUGUCAUUCUUUGCUGUGAACUUUGUCAGACCCUUGAAAAAGAUCUGCCACCAUGAGCUAGAAGAACUACUUUCACAGUAGUCCAUCCACAUAAUUAAGCCGUUUUGUCGCGGUUGUGGUGGUAGUUGUAGUUGUGGUUGGGCAGAAUGCUUGUUGUGACCUUGGGGGAUGGGCCUCUCACCCAUUCAGAUCUAUGCCAUUUUAAGUAGUCACUUGAUUUCUGUGUCUGAUGUUUGAUGGAGCUGCACCUGUUCCUACCUACCUGUUUUCCUGAGAAAGAUAGAUAUUCUAAGGGACACAACUUCGAAGUCUUAGAAGACACAUCUAACUGACAAUCUUCAAGCAAGUAAAGGCAUCAUGGAUUGGAAAUGACAGCAGCAGGCCAGCAGAUAAAUGAAACUGCGACAGUAAUAUCGGCCUUCCAGGCCCGGAAACAGAAGACCUGGGAUCAACCAAGUCCUCACUGUGGCAACACAGAGGUUCUGAGAGUGCUCGGCCAGGAAGAUCAAAGCACUCAUAUUCUAUGGGAAGAGACUCCAUUGUUCAUCACCAGAGAAACCCAGUUAACUAAGAGUUAACCACUUCAGUUUUGAUCUUCUACUUGUGUCUAUGCAGCAGAGAACCUGGGUAUGCAUGUAAAUCAUCGCUUGUUGCUCUAAUACAGUACUGUUCUUUCAGCCUGAAAAGAUUAGUGGUGUGGAAGAGGAAACACUGCAAGUUUUGUAGGAUAGCAGCCUGUUUUAGUUGGUGUGCAAGGCCAGAACAAGCACAAGCACAUCGCUUGUCAACAGUAUCCGAAAAAUCACAUCACCACUAGUCCUAAAAGAGUCACCGCUGUCUCAUCAUUUUCAUAUAAAAGGACAGACUCUUCAGGGGCAUGUGGUAGCUUACUACAAAUGAUGACAGAAACGCCCACCUUGAAAUCAGGGUAUCAUAUCUGAUGAAGACUAUAAGAGAACAGCAGCUGAAUGUAGCUGUGGGACACCCCAGACACCACGCAGGCCUGUCAGGACUCAGCACUUCGGAGGGGCUGGGCAGCAGCUGUGGUUGAUGUCAUUCACAUGCGGCAGGCCUGCCGCCAGAGGAGGAGGCAGCUCCAUGCUCCCGUGAACUCACUAUCCCGUGCGGAAAAUCUGUACUAUUGCUUUGCCUAUUACCCCAACCAAAGUGAAUUAGGCAAUUGUCAUUCUCUCCUCAACACACAGCAAAUGUAAGAAAAGACAGAAAAAAUUAUUCACAUGGAAAGAAUUUAUGAACUAUAGUUGCUUUUUUCUCUUUCCCUUAUCACUGGUCAUUCUCACCACUCAUGGCUUUGAAAAUUAAGCCCUUAGCAAUGCGCAGUGACUGAACCUGGUGGUGCUUUGAGGAAACAGACAUCUGACCUGAUCGUCCAUCUUCGGACACUAUAUAAUACACCCCCACAGCUUAUCAACAUUUCAAAGUACAAAAGGUUAAGAAAUUCCUAUUAAAAUGCAUCCAAUAUCAUUAAGGAAGACAAUGGUGAACUUGUAUCUCUCUGGGUUUCUGAUGUGUUUGUGAAUAUGACAUAAAUUCACCAGACUUUCAACUGCUGAUGUUUCUACCCUUUGAAACACACAGUGACAUUACCUGUUAAUAAUAUGGGAGUAUUUUGCUCUUCGUGUUUCUUUUUCCUGUACUAUUUAACUUUAGGAAGUAUUCUAAAAAAUAUUCAAGGUUUCUAUUCAGCUACUUGGUCUUAUGUUCUUUCUCCCUUAACUUCAUGUCCUCUUAUUUUGUAAAUUAAACUUAUUAGGGUGAUGUUGGUUCAUAAAAUGAUGUAAGCCUCAAGUGCACAAUUCUAUGAUAUAUCAACUGUAUAUUGCAUUGUGCGUCCCCCACCCAAAGUCAAAUCUUCGUCCAUCACUAUAUAUUAGACCCUCUACUAUCCCUCACCCUCCCUUCCCUCUGAUAACCACCAUACUGUUGUCUGUGUCUAUGAGUUUUUGUCUUGUUUGUUCAUUUGUCACUUUCAGUUUUGUAUCCCACAUAUGAGUGAAAACAUAUGGUUCUUGACUUUUUCUGUCUGACUUCUUUCUUUUAGCAUGAUAUUCUAAAGAUCCACCUAUGUUGUUGCAAAUGGUAGUAAUUCAUCUUUUCUUUUCAUCUUUUCUGGGUGAGUAGAUAUAAGAUCUCUCAGGCAAAUUGAAUUACUCUCUGCAAAGGCAUUAUGACAUUUAUAAUCCCAGUGUUUUUUGGAGACAUACUGGCUCAUUUUGCAUUACCCAUGCACUGGACUUAUAUCUAAAGAGCUACUACUAUGUCUAAGCACUAUUUAAUCAGCAUGUACUUAUUUUUAAAAACUAUUUAGAAAAAUACUUGAGUUUAUUAGAAACUACAGAACUGGUUUUCUUUCAAACUUAAAAUUAUAUAUAGUUAUUUUUCAUUGCAUAAGCAUAAAAUCCUUUGUGGGAACCUAAUUUCCAUGGAAUGUUUUCAGGAUGAUUUAGCUAAGUGUGUGUGUAAGAGAGAGAGAGAGAGAGAAAGAGAGAUAAGUCUGAAAUAAACUCACAUUGGAAAUGGCAGUAUAAUGUCAGGUGAGUGAACAUAGUUAUGAUCUCCCCAAUUCGGUUUCUCAUCUAAAAAGUGAAGAUAAUAAUAGCUCCUCCCUCAUCGCACCCACUUCAGGUAUUCUACAGAUGAGUUAGGGGGGCAAGGGCUCAGUUACACAGACCCUCACCCAAUAAUGAGCCCUCAGUUAGGGCUCAGUUACACAGACCCUCACCCAAUAAUGAGAAAGUUUCAGUGCUAAGGAGAACUGAAAAAAGUAAGGGAGGAAAAAGGAAGAAGAACCUGAACUGUUUUUUGAAGUACUUGCAGUCAGAAGAGAAAAGUGCUGUGGCUGGGAUAAUAUAUUUGAAAUAUUAAUGGAUGCAUCUUCUUACCCAGGAGUUUGUGUUUCCUACUCUACCGCUGGAUCCACCCACCACAUUUCUUUCUCCCAGGAGAGAAUAAAUACAACAGAGAACCAUAAUGUCACCCCUCAACUCUGAUACUCAAAUCUAGCUUUUUCAAAACUUUAUUUAUUUUAUUGUUUACCCUUUUACAGAUGCCCCCAUUAUUUUCUCUCUGUUCCCUCUGGCCAUCCCCACACCGUUGUCCAUGUCCACGGCUUAUGCAUGUAUGUUUUUGGCUAAUCCCUCCACCUUCUAUCAUCUAGUCUCCCCCUCUCUCCUUCCCUCUGACAGCUGUCAGUCUGUUCUGGGUAUCAGGUCCUCUGUUUCUAUUUUGUUUGGCAGUUUAUUUUGUUCAUUACAUUCCACAUAUAAGUGAGACAUAUGGUAUUUGUCUUUCACUGACUAGCUUAUUUCACUUAGAAUUGAGACAGCAUUCUGGAAAUCGAGGCUUUCGGGUAUUAUUGUGAGGAAAUGGAUUAGUAAGUUUCAAUGAGGCAAAACUUAAAUGACUCAGCGCCAUAUUUUUGGUAUAAAACUCAGAGCAGAGAGAAAAACAUGAGGUUUUCUCAACACGAAAAGUUUGAUAAAGCCUUUAAUGGGAGGCGGGAAGAAGGAGUCAGGUGAGAGCCUUACAGAGGCUGAGCACAUUGUAGCCUCCUGACAUGGGUGGAUGCCUAACUCACUCUCUACCUACCCACCCACCCCACUAUGAUUAACACCCCAGAAUGGAAAAGCAAUGAAAACACCCAGAGCAGAAUGCAAAUGCUUUGUUUUCAAAGCACAGCCAGGGAACACCACCAGCUCUUAGGCACUCCUGUAUUCAGCGUGGCAGUGAAGCAUCAGGAUACACAAGCCACCGCCAUGCCUGGGGGAGGCUCCAGACAAACAAGCCACAGGAAGCCACAGAGUUCACUUUCUACACAGAAAGCAGCCAUGAGUUCUUGAGCAUGCUCAAAGGGAAACCAGAGAAGUGCUAGGAGGGCCUGUGGCUGAGAGCACCAGAGUCAGGGCACAGGAUGUAGAGUCUGCACCUCUAGACCAGCAGCUUGGCCAGGCUCUACUGUAUCAACACCAGAAGCUGCACGUGAGGCCCAAGGGCUAGAAUAGACCUGCUAUACUUCACCAGAAGCCAGCAGGAACCAGAGAAGACCCAAGAAAGAAGACUCUCCUCUCCCCAUGCCAGGAUAAACUCUAAGUCACACGGGAACUUACAUCACCUCUACAGAUAAUCAAAGAAGGAGCCAGAAGAAUAAUCUCAGGAUUUCAAUGAAUAAACUACAAGUAACUAAACCAAGUUGAAGCGGCACAAGUAAAUAUUCUCAGCCAGCUGAGCAAAUAGGGACUCAAGCUAAGUUAGGUUCAGUUAUGGACAAAUAAUCAUUUCUGUAUACCUGAGUUGUAACUGUAAAGUUUUUAACCCACUCUACUGUCUCAUCAAUUAUAUAUUUCCAUGUAAAGCAGAUCCACGAGACUUCUUGGAAACUUACUGCCUAUUUCUUCUAAGACAGUUUCCAGUUAGCAAAAGCAUGUACUCAAUGCUGUGUUCAGAGGUCAAUAAUGGCCGCAGUGGGACAGCCCUAGAAAUGUACAAAUCCAACCCAGAGCAAUAGAUACUAAUGGCUUUUGGUAGUUGUCACACGUGCGAACAGCCAUUUAUCUUUCCAAAGUGAGUCUGCAUUAAUCAGAAGAAAGAUGAAGUGAUGAUGCAAGGCCCCUCCUCCUUCCAAGGUGCCCUUCGUGCCUUUCACAACACAAGUGAAGGGAAACACCUAAGAGAAUGGCACAUCCAUCAGCUGCUGCAGGACUGGCUGUGCACCUGAGCAACAUGUGCCUCUGCAGGCAGCUCUUCCACAGAAGCAUUUUUACCAUUGAAACCUUGCUCAUUUCCCCACAGUGAGUUCUAAUGCUUCUUUUAAGAAGCUGUAUGAUAGCAGCAGCCAAAUGCUAACUCAUCUGAACAUGUGACAUGAACAUCCAACAUGGCUCUAUUAGUCACAAGGCACUUUGACUAAUCAAGGGGCAGCCAACAAAGGACAGAUGAAGACACUGCUUUGAUUCAACAGGUCACUGUCUGAUUAAACUGUGCAGAGGGACUUGUGGCAGUUGGUUUCCCUAUUUCCCAAUGGCUUUCCUUUGAAGAAGAAGAGGAGCAAAAGAUCGUUUUUGAUUACUCUGAAAUGAACUUAUUCCCUGGGGUUUAUUAAUGAGCCUUUGACUGAUCUCCCUUGCUAGACCACUGUCGGGUGCAUGAUUCCUCAGGGGCCUUCCAGAAAUAAAUACAGAGACCAUCCAAGAAAGCCCCUGACUUGCAAAUCUAAGAAAUACUCAAAGCGAUGUCUUUCUAGAAAAUAAGUGAAUUUUUACUGUUUUGGAAAGCCAGAUACAUAGCCUGUGACCACUGUUUCUAACCCUGAGUCUAGACGUGCACAGUUUCAAUUGGAGGGUGUACAUCUUUGGAGUCUCAUCUUCGUGCAGGUGGUAACUGAGAACACAGACUCAGGACCCUGACUGCCUGGUUCAGAAACUGGUUCCACCACUUACUAAGUGCGUGCACUGGAGAAAAUUGCCUACUUUCCUCCCCUGUGCCUGAGUUUUCUAUCUGUGUAAUUGGAAACAUGGCACUGCCUGUCUCACAGGGUUACAGUGCAAAUCAAAUGAGUGAUUUUUAGAUAGACUGUUUACAACUGGAUCUGGCAUAUAAGGGCCACAGAAGUGUUGGCCACCCUAUCAAUUGUUGUUAUUUUUGCAAUCGCAAGACACUCUGCUCGUUAAGUUCCCAGUUUUCUGAUCCUCUGACCUAAAAAGCGUUCAGAAACCAAACCCCUUUUAGUCCUUAGGGUCUUCUCUAAGUCAGUAAGACUCCAGCGAUUUGAGAUUGUGCAGGGCCAAUGAUGGAAGACUCUGCCCAGCACCACUCCCUGUCCCUAGAGGUCAUGCCACUCGCCAGGAAAAUCCUACACCUGGAAAGUUACUUUCUUCCCUUCUCAGCCCUGCUUUUCCCUACCUUUCUUAAAUUAACUUCAUGGGUCACUCACUCUCACUUCAGCUUGAUAAUAACUGAGAUUAGUUUUUGCAGGAUUAUCUUCUUAAAGACUUGAUUAACCAGAUAAACUCAGUCAACCACAAAGAGUGUGAUCUUUAAGGCUGAGUACUGUAUCAUAUCCAAAAAAAAAAUCUUUUCCAUUUGGACUGUGAGUCAGGCUUGUAGUCUGGUUAAUAGAACUGAUUACCAAGUAUAAGGUACCAUGAAUAGGAACUGUUUUAUUAGCACUAAACUCACUGGUAAGUACAUAUUUUUAUUUAGAAAUAGCUAUGUCCUAAACCAUAGUUUUAAUAAAUAACUUCAAAGUAACCUUAAUAGAAUUCUAAGCAUCAAAAUAUAUACCACUACAUAAAAAUCUAAAGCAUCUGGUUAUCUUUUUGACCUAGCAAACUUUGAAUUAAAAAGCCAGACAACUAUUAGCUAUUGCUUCUGCACAAGUCACCUUUCUGGUAACCACCCUAUUCCUAACAGGAAAUAGAGUAAAGACAGAAGACCAACAUCUACUUUAGUAUUAUAUAAACUAUUUCAAAACAAGAAGGUAAUUUAGAAGUUAGGGCUGCUAAGUAGAAAGCCUUCAUCUGGUUUUUUAUCAGGUUCUCUCUACACUGUUAAGAAUAAUUUUUAAUCUAACACUUUCCAAGGAACACAUUCCCCCUUUCAAAUGACUCUAGGGUCAAACACUAAUUAACCUUUUCUCUUUAAAUUUGGUAAUGAUACAGACCUUGUUGUCUUGUUUUAAAGUUUAAAGCAGUCUUAUAACCCUCCAAAAUUAAUUACACAUUUUCCAAAACACCUCACAGUUCUUUCUGAUCCGGUUGAAACUAAUAAAAUGCUUAAACUUUCACCUAAGAGACCCUAAAUGAAAACUGUGAUGCAGAAAUAUAGUUUUAAUCAGAGACCUAACUAAAUAAGACUACCCUCAAAAUGUGGAUUUUCAGAGUUAACAAAACCCUGCACCCUAGGAAGAGAGCAUCACCUGAACCAAUCAGAAAGUCUUGCUCUGCUCACUGAUUUUCAGGCCUCAGGCUACUAAUGAGUAUACAUCUUUCCUUUAAUUAAAUAGUAGACGUUAUAUGCAGAGUCUCCAUCUCAUGCAGCCUAGAAAGCCAUGUGCUGCACAGAGGAACAGAAAAAUUGGGUUAUAACAACACAUUUGUGAUUAAACUUUAACAUUCAGGACACAAUGCACCAUGGCUAGAGUUUUACCUCAUAGCAAGGUCAAAUUAGAAUCUUGUUCUCCCAAUCUUUUUGGUAGUGGAUUAUAAACAAUUUAAGCAAACCAUCUGUUCAAAGAGCAUGCUGCUAUAAACUCCUCCCCAUAAACAGCCUUUUUUCCCCCUGUAGCUCAAAAUUACCAGAAAUUCUCUAAUCUUUUUUGUCUUUUCUCAUUCAUUAGGCCAAGUAAAACAGCUUGGAGGCAUAACCUCCUCAAAUUCGAACAAAUACUUAAAUGCAAAGCUUUGGAUUGGAUUGCCUUAUUAAAAUGUUCCCAGUUGAUUACUUUUAUUGUUCACUCUUUUGGUAGGCAUGGAAUGAUAAGUACCAAAGACAUAGAAAGCCUAAAAUAACUGGUAAAUCAGUGGACAAUUGAGAGACUAUUACACAACACUAAACAGAAGCCAUGGGAGUUAAUGGCUGGCACAAGAGUUCUGUCUAAAAUUACAAACUGAACAUAAAACUAUUUGUUCUGCAGAGUUCCAACAUUUUUUCCCUGCCUUUGCCCACUGUGGCUAAAAUUAAUUCCCUGGGGCUUUUCAGCCCAAGGUCAUGAUCUUCCAACUUGCAUGCAAGUCGUUCCUUCUGUCAUCAUUUCCCUGUAUCGAAAGCCAGGAAUUAUAAGUCAGGUCCUGGGGAGUUUUCAAGCCUUGUGGUUUUAUUCAACGGGUGACAUGGCAAGAGUUUUCAGGAUCUUAUUACUGACUUUCUCAAAAAUCCAUAUGUAAGACUUAACCAAGACUAAAGAGCCAAAUCGCAUUCACUCUCUCAUAAACAUUUUCCUGAUAGUAAUUAAGACAGUUGUGCUCCAAGCUUAUUGUGCAGGGAAUAAUUGUUAAAAUGCAGGUUCUUGGGACAUGCACCAGAUCCCCUGAGACUGAACUGUUAUACUUGGAACUGGGGAGCUACAUUUUUAACAAGCACCUCAGCUAAUUCUGAAGUAGCUGGUUGUCAGCUACGUACACACAAGAACUAGAUAAUGAAUGGAGUCUGGGGUAAAAACCAACAGGCAGUACAUUUGUGAUAGCUCAUGAAGAUUCUAGAACUUGAAUUCUAGAUUCGUAACUGCUGAUUUUACCAUUACCAUUCACGACUACUCCCUUAGGUUAAGUUGCAUAAUCUUCCUCAGCCUGAUUCCUCACCUGAAGAAUGAAAGUACUAAUGUAAUACUUUCCUCAUUGCACUAUUAUAAUAAGGAUGAGUUUACAGCAUCAAAAUCACUGAGUAAAAGAUAGCUACCCUGAAUCUGUUGCCCUGCGGUUGAACACACCUCUGAGCAGGCCAGACCAAAAAAAAAUUCUUUGUUUCAGUAACUGUCGCAUUUAUCCUUAUGUCUUUCAUGUGUGUGCCAAGGAAAACUGUCUUUAAAUGGGUGGGAGGAGUGGUCAAAAAUGCAGAUUCCACAGUGUCACUUCCUGAAUUUAAAUGUUAAUUCCACCACUUAUUUAAGCAAAUGAAUUAACAUGCAUGCGUCUUGGUAUACUCCUCUUUAAUCAUAUAGUGAGUACCUACCUCAAGUAAAAUGGUUAACAGAACUCUAGGCAAUGAUCAAUUGUUUUGCUAUUAUUGCAACAUAGGAAAAAAGAUCUGAUGAAGAUGAGCAAACAACUUUAUUUUAUAGUUGAGAAUAGAAGAAAGAUGCCAAUUAUUUUAUUAAGUAUCAGUGACAUUUAGAAAAGCAAAUGUUUAACGUUUGCCACAGACAUGAUUCUAGAUCAGAAGAAACUAAUUCAUUUAAAGAGUUAAAAACUCUGCCGAUCAAAAAAAUUCAUUUUACUUAAUAACAUAACAGCUCAUUUUGUACAGGAACUUAAUAAUUUUGCCCAAGUUUUAGAUAAGUGACCUUAUGCUUUUAUGCAGGUCACUAAACUGCCUUCAGUAUCAACCUUCUUAUUGUGGAAAUAAUUACAAAGUGGUAACCCUUACCAAAAUAGAAUAGCAUUACACUUUUAAUAAAAGCUUACAGUCUAUAAGUUUUAAAAAUUAGAAGCUUAAAAUCACUGAAAUUCAUUAUAGAAAACUUGAAAUCCAUAACAAGAGAAGAUUUAGCUGGUGACAAGAUCUGAAAAUGUUUUUGAGUGAAAAUAUGUAGUAUUAUAUUGUGUGUGUAUCUCAAGUUGAAAUAGAAUAGAAUUGGACUCACAUGGAGCAAUGAAUGGGCAGUAAAAUGGGAAUAGAAUAAAUGCAGUUAAGAUGAAAUCAAAUAAAAUCUGUAUUUUAUCCACCCAUAUCUACCUCUACAAUGCUGUCUGUCACUUAUUAUCUGGGUGUCUAGCCUAGUUGCUACUUCUAAGUGAAGGAAGAC
Molecule: long non-coding RNA, 9899 nt
Organism: Artibeus jamaicensis (Jamaican fruit-eating bat)
Lineage: Eukaryota; Metazoa; Chordata; Mammalia; Chiroptera; Phyllostomidae
Exons: 3
Source: RefSeq, a predicted model, not a curated record